UAGGGAAUCUUCCACAAUGGACGCAAGUCUGAUGGAGCAACGCCGCGUGAGUGAAGAAGGUUUUCGGAUCGUAAAGCUCUGUUGUUGGUGAAGAAGGAUAGAGGCAGUAACUGGUCUUUAUUUGACGGUAAUCAACCAGAAAGUCACGGCUAACUACGUGCCAGCAGCCGCGGUAAUACGUAGGUGGCAAGCGUUGUCCGGAUUUAUUGGGCGUAAAGCGAGCGCAGCCGGAAUGAUAAGACUGAUGGGAAAGCCCACGGCUCAACCGUGGAACUGCAUCGGAAACUGUCAUUCUUGAGUGCAGAAGAGGAGAGUGGAAUUCCAUGUGUAGCGGUGGAAUGCGUAGAUAUAUGGAAGAACACCAGUGGCGAAGGCGGCUCUCUGGUCUGCAACUGACGCUGAGGCUCGAAAGCAUGGGUAGCGAACAGG
Molecule: ribosomal RNA, 429 nt
Filed under: bacterium
Lineage: Bacteria
Description: partial 16S ribosomal RNA
Rfam family: Bacterial small subunit ribosomal RNA
Source: RNAcentral